Long non-coding RNA from Amblyraja radiata (thorny skate), 84 nucleotides. RefSeq lists it as uncharacterized. NCBI's taxonomy places the organism in Eukaryota, Metazoa, Chordata, Chondrichthyes, Rajiformes, Rajidae. The record is from RefSeq and is a predicted model, not a curated record. The transcript is spliced from 3 exons.
UUUGUGGGUGCCAGAUUCGGCCUUUGAUUCCUUGCUAUGCCAAAACAACUCCGAAAUUCUCCCAGAUUUUUCCCAUCUCGCUAG